CACUAUAUCAACUCUGCCGGCUUUCGGGCCGGCUAUGGCGAUAAACGAGCGGUGUAAUAAACCUAUUGGACCCGGGGGCGGUACCCGGCGCCUCCACCAAAAACCGGCGGGGUUGAAGGCCGGCUUUUGAUGGGGGCGAAACAGGAUCGACAAGGGUGUAAAGAUCGUCUUUUUGCUCGGCAUUGUACCGCCGUUAUCGGGCUAAAAUUGUAGUUGCAAACGACAACUAUGCGGAAGCUCGUCUCGCUGCUUAAUCGCGGUGUGACACUUCAAUCAAAGCCCUAGUGGUUCGCACCUCUAGGCGG
Molecule: transfer-messenger RNA, 305 nt
Filed under: Rhizobium sp. N324
Lineage: Bacteria; Pseudomonadati; Pseudomonadota; Alphaproteobacteria; Hyphomicrobiales; Rhizobiaceae
Also listed under: 3 other names
Description: tmRNA, 10Sa RNA, ssrA
Rfam family: Alphaproteobacteria transfer-messenger RNA
About the family: Bacterial tmRNA, also known as 10Sa RNA or SsrA, is named for its dual tRNA and mRNA-like properties.
Source: RNAcentral